CAGACAGUAAAUCCUCCUGGCAGCCUUGAGCUCUCUCAGGCAGGCGUUUUAAUGGAGAACUGGGGUCAUCCUAGGGACACAGCCUUAUGCUGCUGGAAGCCAUGCUAGAUUUGGUCGUCUCUCAGUGCAGAGGUUUGAACGGAGUCGUGCUGUGCCGAGCGUUCUACAGUUCUCAGGGGUCACUGGACAGAUCAGAGAAAACAAGAAGAGCGAGGUCAGCAGUCUGAAGCUACGUCACAGUCAUUCAAUCUGUGCUCCCUGUGUACCUUCAUACCGUCCACAAGGCUCCUCACCAUCUCCGUCUGGGCUGCUAUCUCUUCCAUCAACAGGUAUGUCAUCCUGGUGCAACCAUGAUGAGAUCAGGAAAAGGAGGAAUAUAGCCAGAAGCAGAGAAAUGCUGCCGCUGAGCGGGUCUACUCUCAUUGCUGCCAAGACAGAAAAUUCUGCCCAGAUUUGGGCUACUGUAUGUCCACUUGGGGAACCAGGGAGACUCACCCCAUAUUGAGCGGAGAGCGAUGGACAAUGGUUUACCACUAGUCAAGUGAAGCUGGUAAAGACCAACACCAUGGCUAUUGAGAGGACCACGGGAUACGAUGCUUGUAAUUCAUGAAACACAGUAUGGCAGUCACUCCAGGACCAUGGAAAUCAGAGAAUUACACAGGGCAUCUGUGUAAAUGUCACAGGCUAUUUUACCAUGGUUAUCAACUGGGAGACAUACAUGAUUCCAGGGGGCCACCUGCAAGCUAAGUCCAUGGGACAGUGUACAGAGACAUUUUGUUGCAAAGACAAAAAAAGAUAACGCUACACAUCACUGCAUGCUCAACUGACCCAUAGAAACACAUGGUUAAAAAAAUAAAAGAAACAGUUGGAAAGAAGAAUGAAAGGCAAGGAGUUUGAUGUAUCCACAGCAGGACCUUGCUUUGAAGUUGAACAUCCAGUAUAGC
RNAcentral lists this long non-coding RNA (944 nucleotides) under Equus caballus (horse). Its description in RNAcentral is "lncRNA (ENSECAG00000031568.3)". Lineage: Eukaryota; Metazoa; Chordata; Mammalia; Perissodactyla; Equidae. The record is from RNAcentral.